RNAcentral lists this ribosomal RNA (254 nucleotides) under uncultured bacterium. RNAcentral's name for it is "partial 16S ribosomal RNA". It matches the Rfam family "Bacterial small subunit ribosomal RNA", at positions 524 to 776 of the family's 1533-position model. The record is from RNAcentral.
UACAGAGGGUGCAAGCGUUGUUCGGAAUUACUGGGCGUAAAGCGCGCGUAGGCGGCGCGACGCGACCGGUGUGAAAGCCCCCGGCUCAACUGGGGAGGGUCAUCGGUAACGGUCGUGCUGUGAGUGCAGGAGAGGGAUGUGGAACUCCGGGAGUAGCGGUGAAAUGCGCAGAUAUCAGGAGGAACACCAAUGGCGAAGGCAGCACUCUGGGACGUGACUGACGCUGAGACGCGAAAGCGUGGGGAGCAAACAGG